This is a microRNA precursor of Oryza sativa Indica Group (long-grained rice), 210 nucleotides long. It matches the Rfam family "MIR812 microRNA precursor family". NCBI's taxonomy places the organism in Eukaryota, Viridiplantae, Streptophyta, Magnoliopsida, Poales, Poaceae. The record is from Rfam.
AAUAAAUACAGUUUUACACUAUUCAUCUCCAACGUUUGACCUAUCAUCUUAUUUGAAAAUUUUUUAUGAUUACUAUUGUUGUUGUUAUUAGAUGAUAUAAAAUAUAAAUAGUACUUUAUGUAUGACUAAUUUUUUUAAAAUUUUUUAUGAAUUUUUUAAAUAAGACGUAUGGUCAAACAUUGGACACGGAUUUUCACGGCUGCACUUAUU